GCUGAGGGUUAUACAAGUUAAUUCAAAGCUAGAUUGAUAAUCAUAUAUUAUACAUAGUAAGCAAGUUAAAUUUCAGGAUUUUUUAUUUGCCAAGUUACUCAUUCUGCCUUUUUCAACUCAAAACUCCCGUCCUUCCGUUUUCAAAUUUAAUCCUAGUCCCCCUCUUUCCCUGAAAAAAAACCCUGGUACCUCCGUAGGGUAGUAAUAGGUACUCGUCCAACAGAUUUAAUUUGAAAAUAAAACAUAUUUGUUUUAGAGAAACUCCUAGCAGGAAAAAACCAUUGGUCAUCGGUGUCACUUUUUU
RNAcentral lists this long non-coding RNA (304 nucleotides) under Mytilus galloprovincialis (Mediterranean mussel). Lineage: Eukaryota; Metazoa; Mollusca; Bivalvia; Mytilida; Mytilidae. The record is from RNAcentral.